UCAACGCAUUUCAGUUGAUUGGUGUCAACUCUCAGAAGCUUAACCAAUCAAAAGCAAUGUAACUAGCGGGCUGGGUGUAUUACAAACCCUUAUAAAGAUUUAAUUUCAAGUGUUUUCAGUUCGUAGACGUAAUCUCAAGAGAACUAAGUUGAGUUAAAAAUCUUCAGCAUAAUAUAUCUGCGUAAAAUAUUUACAUACAAAAUGAAAGGUCAUUGCGUCAUCAUCUUCGUUGUGUUAAUUGCGAUAUUAGCUGGAAUGGCAAUGGUCAGCGCCCGUUCAAUCAUACUUCCCCCAGAGUGUGGAAAUGCCUGUUUAGCACAUUAUGAAUCAAAUCCUAAUGAAACCCGUUCAGUUUCAAAAUACAUAGGAUGCAUCAAAAAGUGCUGGGAAAAGGCUAGAUUUAACCCUUGAAAACGUUGUUUCUCAAAUACAAUUGAAGAAUCGAGUUGGAGAAUCAUGUUAAUAUAGACAACGUGUCCAGUUCUUGAAAUGAAAAUACAAAGAAUCUCUUACAGUUAUUGCAUGCUUCUACAUUUUCUACAUUUUGUCUGCCUAAAUCUACAUGAUAAUUAUGAAAGGAAUAUAGUUUUUUGUGAAAGCAAUUGAUGUACUUUAAUGAAAAUAAAACAUUUUAAAAUA
This is a long non-coding RNA of Octopus sinensis (East Asian common octopus), 639 nucleotides long. RefSeq lists it as uncharacterized. The transcript is spliced from 3 exons. The record is from RefSeq and is a predicted model, not a curated record. NCBI's taxonomy places the organism in Eukaryota, Metazoa, Mollusca, Cephalopoda, Octopoda, Octopodidae.